Molecule: long non-coding RNA, 637 nt
Organism: Harmonia axyridis
Lineage: Eukaryota; Metazoa; Arthropoda; Insecta; Coleoptera; Coccinellidae
Exons: 2
Source: RefSeq, a predicted model, not a curated record
AUAUCGCAUUGAAACCAUGAGUAAUAAUAAAUUCAAGGUAUUCGAUUAGACAAAUGAAUAAACCUUUGUGCAAAAUUUCUUCUUCGAACAAUUACAUGGAUGAAAAUAAUCUAUAAUCAGAAAAAAUUGAAUUAUCGAUCCAGGAAACCACGCUUUCCUUCCUUUUUGCGAGAAACAUCUAGAGUUGUUGAACCUUUAUUGAUUGGCAACAUCAACUGCAAGUAUGAGGUUCGCACUAAUAUUUCUUUAUGCAUUUUUUAUGCUUCAAAUAUUUUGGGUGCACUUCGCGAUGGGUGGUAAAAUUAAGUCGAUAAAACCUCUUUCGGCUUGCUCCGAUUUCCACCGAAGAUGGUGGUGUAGCAGAAAUACAGAUGAUUUUGUACCAUAAAAGUUGAACAAUAAAAUGGGAGUCAUUCAAUCUCUCGAGAAAAAAGAAAAACUCCCAUAUUUCCCAAUGAACUUGGAUUUUAUGAAUUUGUCAAAUUAUUAAAUGAAUGAAUUACUUCUAUGAAUGGCCAUUAUUGUAUUUAUUAUUUCUUGUUAUAUGAACAUAGAUUUAUACAACCAUAUUUAUUAUUUUACAUUAAAUUUUUAUGUACUGAAAUCAUAAUGAAUUGAUAAAAUAUUAAUAUAUGUA